RNAcentral lists this long non-coding RNA (231 nucleotides) under Physcomitrium patens. RNAcentral describes it as "long non-coding RNA (PPAT_LNC004717)". The record is from RNAcentral. Lineage: Eukaryota; Viridiplantae; Streptophyta; Bryopsida; Funariales; Funariaceae.
CCCUCUUAUUGGUAUAAAAUUAUGAAUACACAUAAAAUAAAAUAAAGACAAAACAGACGUAUAAGUAUUUCAAUCUACCCAUGUAUAUACAUAUACAUGUGUAAUGUGCAAAUGUGUGCAAAGUAAUCCAAUGACAGUCACUGCUUUUUCCUUCCUUUCAAGGGUGGACAAUCUAGUAGCUGCUGCAGUCACAUUCAUAUUCCCAAUCAGAUCAACGCUCUUAUUUGUGGG